RNAcentral lists this unclassified non-coding RNA (284 nucleotides) under uncultured Vuilleminia. RNAcentral describes it as "sequence contains ITS2". The stretch from base 1 to 52 matches the Rfam family "5.8S ribosomal RNA", at positions 103 to 154 of the family's 154-position model. Lineage: Eukaryota; Fungi; Basidiomycota; Agaricomycetes; Corticiales; Vuilleminiaceae. The record is from RNAcentral.
AACGCACCUUGCGCUCCUUGGUAUUCCGAGGAGCAUGCCUGUUUGAGCGUCGUGAAUCUCUCAACCCACAACUUGUUUGUUCAGUUUGUGCGGCUUGGACUUGGAGGUAUUGCUGGCGAUGGUCAGCUCCUCUUAAAUGUAUUAGCUGGGCUUAGCUCGGUGGAACGGUUAGUGUGAUAAUUAUCUGCGCUGCCUACUACAUCGGAUCCCGCUUCUAAUCGUCCGCAAGGACAAUUCACUUUGAAUCUGACCUCAAAUCAGGUAGGACUACCCGCUGAACUUAA